Molecule: ribosomal RNA, 253 nt
Filed under: uncultured bacterium
Lineage: Bacteria
Description: partial 16S ribosomal RNA
Rfam family: Bacterial small subunit ribosomal RNA
Source: RNAcentral
UACGUAGGGGGCAAGCGUUGUCCGGAUUUAUUGGGCGUAAAGAGCGUGUAGGCGGUUUGGUAGGUCCGCUGUGAAAACUCGAGCUCAACCUCGAGACGCCGGUGGAAACCAUCAGACUAGAGUCCGGAAGAGGAGAGUGGAAUUCCUGGUGUAGCGGUGAAAUGCGCAUAUAUCAGGAAGAACACCCGUGGCUAAGGCGGCUCUCUAGUACGGUACUGACGCUGGAGGUGCGAAAGCGUGGGGAGCAAACAGG